AACGAAAAGAGGGAAAGAGCUUGCUCUUUCCGGAAUUGAGUGGCAAACGGGUGAGUAACACGUAAACAACCUGCCUUCAGGAUGGGGACAACAGACGGAAACGACUGCUAAUACCGAAUAAGUUCCAAGAGCCGCAUGGCCCAUGGAAGAAAAGGUGGCCUCUACCUGUAAGCUAUCGCCUGGAGAGGGGUUUGCGUCUGAUUAGCUGGUUGGAGGGGUAACGGCCCACCAAGGCGACGAUCAGUAGCCGGUCUGAGAGGAUGAACGGCCACACUGGAACUGAGACACGGUCCAGACUCCUACGGGAGGCAGCAGUGGGGAAUCUUCCGCAAUGGGCGAAAGCCUGACGGAGCAACGCCGCGUGAGUGAUGACGGCCUUCGGGUUGUAAAACUCUGUGAUCCGGGACGAAAAGGCAGAGUGCGAAGAACAAACUGCAUUGACGGUACCGGAAAAGCAAGCCACGGCUAACUACGUGCCAGCAGCCGCGGUAAUACAUAGGUGGCAAGCGUUGUCCGGAAUUAUUGGGCGUAAAGCGCGCGCAGGCGGCUUCCCAAGUCCCUCUUAAAAGUGCGGGGCUUAACCCCGUGAUGGGAAGGAAACUGGGAAGCUGGAGUAUCGGAGAGGAAAGUGGAAUUCCUAGUGUAGCGGUGAAAUGCGUAGAGAUUAGGAAGAACACCGGUGGCGAAGGCGACUUUCUGGACGAAAACUGACGCUGAGGCGCGAAAGCGUGGGGAGCAAACAGGAUUAGAUACCCUGGUAGUCCACGCCGUAA
Molecule: ribosomal RNA, 773 nt
Filed under: uncultured bacterium
Lineage: Bacteria
Description: bacterial SSU rRNA
Rfam family: Bacterial small subunit ribosomal RNA
Source: RNAcentral